Molecule: ribosomal RNA, 500 nt
Filed under: uncultured bacterium
Lineage: Bacteria
Description: partial 16S ribosomal RNA
Rfam family: Bacterial small subunit ribosomal RNA
Source: RNAcentral
AUUGAACGCUGGCGGCAUGCCUUACACAUGCAAGUCGAACGGCAGCACGGGAGCAAUCCUGGUGGCGAGUGGCGAACGGGUGAGUAAAGUAUCGGAACGUGCCCAGUCGUGGGGGAUAACGUAGCGAAAGUUACGCUAAUACCGCAUACGAUCUAUGGAUGAAAGCGGGGGAUCGCAAGACCUCGCGCGAUUGGAGCGGCCGAUAUCAGAUUAGGUAGUUGGUGGGGUAAAGGCCCACCAAGCCGACGAUCUGUAGCUGGUCUGAGAGGACGACCAGCCACACUGGGGCUGAGACACGUCCCAGACUCCUACGGGAGGCAGAAGGGGGGAAUUUUGGACAAUGGGCGAAAGCCUGAUCCAGCCAUGCCGCGUGCAGGAUGAAGGCCUUCGGGUUGUAAACUGCUUUUGUACGGAACGAAAAGGACUGCCCUAAUACGGUGGUCCCAUGACGGUACCGUAAGAAUAAGCACCGGCUAACUACGUGCCAGCAGCCGCCGUAA